This 934-nucleotide non-coding RNA is filed under the name Tachiramantis lentiginosus. RNAcentral describes it as "partial 12S ribosomal RNA". It matches the Rfam family "Bacterial small subunit ribosomal RNA". Lineage: Eukaryota; Metazoa; Chordata; Amphibia; Anura; Strabomantidae. The record is from RNAcentral.
AGGUCUGGUCCUAGCCUUAUAGUCAACUUUUACUCAAUUUACACAUGCAAGCCUCCACACCCCAGUGAAUACGCCCCUAAAACCCUCCAGGGUUUAGGAGCCGACAUAGGCGCAAUAACUCGCCCAAAAUCUAGCCUCGCCACACCCACACGGGUCUUCAGCAGUGAUUAAUAUUGAACAUGAGCGACAGCUCGAUUCAGUUAAAGUAAAUAGAGCCGGCAAAUUUGGUGCCAGCCGCCGCGGUUACACCACUUGGCUCGCGUUGACUUCUCCCGGCGUAAAACGUGAUUAAAAAGAUAUUGUAAACUAGAACUAAAUUUUUAUUAAGCUGUAGCACGCUUUUACUAAAGAAUCCCAUUAACGAAAGUUGUUCUAAUUAAACCUACUUGACCUCACAACAGCUAAAACACAAACUGAGAUUAGAUACCCCACUAUGUUUAGCCGUAAACUUUAAUUUACACCCCCCCCCCCCCCCCUCGCCAGGGAACUACGAGCAAUGCUUAAAACCCAAAGGACUUGACGGUACCCCACAUCCCCCUAGAGGAGCCUGUCCCAUAAUCGAUACUCCGCGUUCAACCACACCACUUUUAGUCUUUCAGUCUGUAUACUUCCGUCGUCAGCCCACCGCAUGAGCGCAUACCAGUGGGCUAAAUGCUUCCCCAUCAGUACGUCAGGUCAAAGUGCAGCAAAUAAAGUGGGAGGAGAUGGGCUACACUUUCUAUACUAGAAUAAACGGAAGGCCAGCAUGAAACUGCGGCCAAAAGGUGGAUUUAGCAGUAAAGGGGGAUUAGAACGCCCCCUUAAACCCGGCACUGGGUUGUGUACACACCGCCCGUCACCCUAUUCAAACCAAACCCAUAGUAUUUAACGAACAAUAAACAAAAGAAGAGGUAAGUCGUAACAUGGUAAGUAUACCGGAAGGUGUGCUUGGAAA